CCUACGGGUGGCAGCAGUGGGGAAUAUUGGACAAUGGGCGAAAGCCUGCUCCAGCCAUGCCGCGUGUGUGAAGAAGGCCUUCGGGUUGUAAAGCACUUUCAGUGGGGAAGAAAGCCUUGGGGCUAAUACCCUCGAGGAAGGACAUCACCCACAGAAGAAGCACCGGCUAACUCCGUGCCAGCAGCCGCGGUAAUACGGAGGGUGCGAGCGUUAAUCGGAAUUACUGGGCGUAAAGCGCGCGUAGGCGGUCUGAUAAGCCGGUUGUGAAAGCCCCGGGCUCAACCUGGGAACGGCAUCCGGAACUGUCAGGCUAGAGUGCAGGAGAGGAAGGUAGAAUUCCCGGUGUAGCGGUGAAAUGCGUAGAGAUCGGGAGGAAUACCGGUGGCGAAGGCGGCCUUCUGGACUGACACUGACGCUGAGGUUCGAAAGCGUGGGUAGCAAACAGGAUUAGAUACCCGGGUAGUC
Molecule: ribosomal RNA, 465 nt
Filed under: Vreelandella stevensii
Lineage: Bacteria; Pseudomonadati; Pseudomonadota; Gammaproteobacteria; Oceanospirillales; Halomonadaceae
Description: partial 16S ribosomal RNA
Rfam family: Bacterial small subunit ribosomal RNA
Source: RNAcentral